CAAGUAGUACAUAUGAUAGAGACUAUACUAUCUUGGCAAGGAGACAAGUGGCAUUCUAGCCAACUCCUAUUUCCCUUUCUUCUCUCCUCCCUUCUCAAUUCAUGCUUCCACAAGACACCAAGCAUGGACAACCAUGUACCUACAAAUGAAACACCAAAAAGGGAUAUGAGAAGUAGGCUUCACAAGACUCAAGGUGGGAGACUUCUUCAAGAUAGUAAGUAUGUGAAUCUAUGCAAUACAUCAUCAAUCUUCAAAAAAAAGAAAAAGGACAAGAAUGACCAAGGAGUGAGAUCAUCCCUAAGGCCUUUUAGAGGCAACAAUGUACUCUCUUUCCCCUCAACCGAGGCUGAGAUAACAGCCAAGAGGGGCAGCCCCUAGGCCUGCAAAUCACACAAAAAUGGGGUUAGAAAAAUAGACUUAUAAGAAAGGAAGAGGAGGGGGCCAGCUCGAUUGAACAUGGAGAGUAAACAGGCUGAGUUGUACAGCCAAGAGGCUGCUCAGGCAGUAAGACAGCCAUUUUGUCACAGUCCCCUCUUACACCAAAGUAGAGGUUAGGACAAAGGAGCAUUGUAGAAUGAACCCAAUGUUCAUACUCAAAAUGAGCAUGAAUCAGAUCCCUUUUUCCGUCACCAAGGCUGGGAGAAAACUGCCAAGGAGGGCAGCCCCAAACAUUCAUCAACUUAGUAAGAGUAGCAGUAUCACAAAGCUCGAAAGGGAGCUAAGGAACAGCCCAAAAUUAGCAUCACCGCCUCCCAAAAAUUAGACACAAAAUGCGAAGGAGUUUUGGCUAUAAAUACCAGCCCCACCACCAUCUCCUUCCUCACACCUCUCAACAUUCACAAAUCACAAGAAGUGCAGCAAGAGAGGAAGGAGUGGCGGCGAGCUUAAGGGCAGUCCGGUGUUCGAAGGAGUCAUCGAGAAAGAGGUAAAACACUAGCACACCCUCUGCUUUUGUUUCGAACAUCAUACUAGGUCCAAGAACAUAGAAUCAUGGCUGUAGAAAUCUCAUGACAGUAGCAACUCUUAGAACAAGUAGCAGUUGAAGUCCCCAAUAUAAUGAACUCAUUUCAGUGAGCUAACAAUCCUCCCAAAAGUCAUAACUUGCUUCACAAGAUGCAAAUGGAACUCUCAACAUGUUACUGCCAUAACUCAAUUGAAAAAAAAAGUAGAAGGGAAAGGGGGGAGACUUAGCUUUAGGCCAAGAAUAAGCCGACAAGGCGAGCCGGGACGCGGAGGCGACGAGGGGCUGUCCGGCAAGGAUCGGACGACGGCGGAACCCCGGACAGCAGACAGAGGCGGUGAAAUGGCAGCUGGCAGCGGGAACUCCACUCACCGAGUACCCGAAGCGGGGACGGCGGCGCUGCAAAACCGUCGGGGGGCCGCUGCAUCCCAGAGAGCUCGGCGUGAGAGGAAGAGCUCAGGAAUCGAUGAGCUGCUGUCUGAGAUGACGACGAGAGGAAGAGCGCUGGAUGGAGGGCGCUAGACGAAGGGCGUGAACUCGCUGGAGAGGGCCAGGGAUGUAUGAUUUUGAGAGUAAAUGGGAGCUGGCUUUGUUGUGGCCCGGUGGCUUCAUGAAUACUAAUAGGAUUAAACGCGCUAUAUACAGAGCUAAAGAAAGCAAUGGCAUUCGCAGUUUCAGAAAGGUUGAGCAGUGAUGACGGCGGGUGGUGUUGAACAUAGACGAUGAAGAUCCUUCGAUAGAAUAGUACUCGGAUGCGACGUGUCUCCAUACAUGACGUUAUAUGCUCUUGACUCUUCCGCUGCAAUGUAAAAGUCGAGUUUGCUCUCCUUGUAUCGUGCACUCUGAUAUAUAUUAUUUGAGUUAUUUCGGUUCAACU
Molecule: long non-coding RNA, 1838 nt
Organism: Salvia splendens (bonfire salvia)
Lineage: Eukaryota; Viridiplantae; Streptophyta; Magnoliopsida; Lamiales; Lamiaceae
Exons: 3
Source: RefSeq, a predicted model, not a curated record